Molecule: long non-coding RNA, 1245 nt
Filed under: Ursus maritimus (polar bear)
Lineage: Eukaryota; Metazoa; Chordata; Mammalia; Carnivora; Ursidae
Description: lncRNA (ENSUMAG00000008966.1)
Source: RNAcentral
CCCUUUCCCCCCCGGCGCCCCCCCCCCCUUUUUUUAAGAUUUUAUUUAUUUACUUGUUUGAGAGAGAGAGACAAAAAGCACAAGCAGGGGAGGAGCAGAUGAAGAGGGAGAAGCAGACUCCCCGCUGAGCAGGGAGCUCAUGCAGGGCUCGAUCCCAGGACCCUGAGAUCAUGACCUGAGCCGAAGGCAGACACUUAACUGACUGAGCCACCCAGGUGCACAACUAUGUGAUUCUAAAUCCUUAUCUGUAUAGACUUGUCUAGGCUUCCUACCAAAGUUGUCAUGGGCAGAAAACUGAUGAUUCCAUACAGUGAAGAAAUGGCCUGAGGUGGCUCAGUGUAAAUGCAAGCUGUAGGAUUAUUUAUGCAGAGUGCUUUCAGCACUGCUGUCACACGGGCUUAACAGUUGCUAAAUGAAGAGAACUACCUCUUGAAUGUAGUCAAAGAUGGUGAGGUGGAGUGUGAGUAGUAGGGCAGACACCAGACACGUAGAAAGAAUUUGGAAGGUUUUUUUUUUCCCCUGGAGUAUAAACUUCCAGUUCUGUGCUAGCAUUCAUUCCAUCCCAUGCCAGAACUGUUAGGGCAGUGUUGCUAGGAAAUUAGUGGCUGUUAGUCUGGAUGAGUUUAGAUAAGAAUGUGUCCUUCAUACAAUGCAAACAGGGAAGGGUUUUGAAGUGUACGGAACUGGUCUCUGUCCCAUGCUAUUUAAGGAAGCACAGCGCAGGGCUUUUUUACUUAGCUAAGGUGGGGAAUCUUUCCCGAGGUGAUCUAAUUCCCAGGGUCGGGUGGCGUACAGUGCUGCCCAGGGUCUCCUUCCGUCUGCCUGCCUUGACAUGGCUCUCCCUCACCGCGGUAGCCUGGCUUCUGCCCCUGAGCCUGGCUGCUGGGCACCUGGGAACAGAGCGUCGGCCACCCUGGAAGGAAGAUAACACGAAGAAUUGCAAAGUGACCAGCAUGCCUCUCAAAUUUAACACAGCUGGAUAGGAACUCUUCGUUUCUCAGGGAAACCUGCCCCCCUUCCAGUGUACGUGGUCUCUCGUCAACGGAAUGACAGCCAUCUAGUUGCUCAAGACAAAACCCAGGAGUCACUGAAGACUUCUUUCUGCCUUCAAAUACCCUUGUGCCCUCUCCUGCUUGCACUGCUCCCGUCCUCUUCCAGCCACCAUUGGCUGGCUUCUCAACCACCCUGACACCCUCCAAGCCAGCCUCUCUGCUCCGUACAGCUCGUGCUAUACACAACAGUGAG